GAUGAACGCUGGCGGCGUGCCUGAUACAUGCAAGUCGAACGGGCCAGAACAACUUGGAAGUAACAGAAGGCGCGGAAGAUGAGAAAUCGUACGAAGAGCUGGAAGGGACGGAAAGGUUGAAUGCUGGUCAGUGGCGAACGGGUGAGUAACACGUUGGUAUCUACCCCGAGGUGGGGAAUAACGGUUCGAAAGAGUCGCUAAUUCCGCAUGAGAUCCGAAAGGAUGAAAGGGCUUCGGCCCGCCUUGGGAUGAGCCUGCGGCCGAUUAGCUAGUUGGUAGGGUAAAGGCCUACCAAGGCGACGAUCGGUAGCUGGUCUGAGAGGAUGAUCAGCCACACUGGAACUGAGACACGGUCCAGACUCCUACGGGAGGCAGCAGUAAGGAAUAUUGCACAAUGGGGGAAACCCUGAUGCAGCAACGCCGCGUGAGCGAUGAAGGCCUUCGGGUUGUAAAGCUCUUUUCUAAGGGAAGAGGAAGGAC
RNAcentral lists this ribosomal RNA (480 nucleotides) under uncultured bacterium. RNAcentral describes it as "bacterial SSU rRNA". It matches the Rfam family "Bacterial small subunit ribosomal RNA", at positions 28 to 456 of the family's 1533-position model. The record is from RNAcentral.